AGACCCUCACCAAUCAUGACACUGAAGCGGGAAUGGAAGCGUAGUCAGAUUGCAAUUCCUACCGGGUUCAGUGUCAUACUUGGUGCGGAUGAGUCUG
RNAcentral lists this microRNA precursor (97 nucleotides) under Caenorhabditis briggsae. Its description in RNAcentral is "microRNA cbr-mir-65 precursor". Its record names the gene cbr-mir-65. The record is from miRBase by way of RNAcentral. Lineage: Eukaryota; Metazoa; Nematoda; Chromadorea; Rhabditida; Rhabditidae.